UACGUAGGUGGCAAGCGUUGUCCGGAUUUACUGGGCGUAAAGAGCGCGCAGGCGGUCGGAUUAGUCGCGUGUGAAAGCCCCCGGCUCAACUGGGGAGGGUCACGCGAUACUGUUCGACUCGAAGGCAGGAGAGGGAAGUGGAAUUCCCGGUGUAGUGGUGAAAUGCGUAGAUAUCGGGAGGAACACCAGUGGCGAAGGCGACUUCCUGGCCUGUUCUUGACGCUGAGGAGCGAAAGCGUGGGGAGCGAACAGG
This 253-nucleotide ribosomal RNA is filed under the name uncultured bacterium. Its description in RNAcentral is "partial 16S ribosomal RNA". It matches the Rfam family "Bacterial small subunit ribosomal RNA", at positions 524 to 776 of the family's 1533-position model. The record is from RNAcentral.